RNAcentral lists this transfer RNA (73 nucleotides) under Desmophyllum pertusum. Its description in RNAcentral is "tRNA-Leu". Lineage: Eukaryota; Metazoa; Cnidaria; Anthozoa; Scleractinia; Caryophylliidae. The record is from RNAcentral.
GGCCUAGUGGAAUAAUGGUUAGCAUGCUGGACUCAGGACUGAGUGGUCUGGGUUUGAGCCCUGGCUGGGGUCA